Molecule: ribosomal RNA, 631 nt
Filed under: uncultured bacterium
Lineage: Bacteria
Description: bacterial SSU rRNA
Rfam family: Bacterial small subunit ribosomal RNA
Source: RNAcentral
CCGGUGGCGGAUGGGCAUGCGGCGCAUUAGCUAGUCGGCGGGGUAACGGCCCACCGAGGCGACGAUGCGUAGGGGUUCUGAGAGGAAGGUCCCCCACACUGGUACUGAGACACGGACCAGACUCCUACGGGAGGCAGCAGUGAGGAAUAUUGGUCAAUGGGCGCGAGCCUGAACCAGCCAAGUCGCGUGAGGGAUGACGGUCCUACGGAUUGUAAACCUCUUUUGCCGGGGAGCAAGCGUGCGUUCGUGAACGCGCGUCGAGGGUACCCGGAGAAAAAGCAUCGGCUAACUCCGUGCCAGCAGCCGCGGUAAUACGGAGGAUGCGAGCGUUAUCCGGAUUUAUUGGGUUUAAAGGGUGCGUAGGCGGGAUGCCAAGUCAGCGGUAAAAAUGCGGUGCUCAACGCCGUCGAGCCGUUGAAACUGGCGUUCUUGAGUGGGCGAGAAGUAUGCGGAAUGCGUGGUGUAGCGGUGAAAUGCAUAGAUAUCACGCAGAACUCCGAUUGCGAAGGCAGCAUACCGGCGCCCUACUGACGCUGAGGCACGAAAGCGUGGGUAUCGAACAGGAUUAGAUACCCUGGUAGUCCACGCAGUAAACGAUGAAUGCUAACUGUCCGGCUCGAAUGAGCGCUGG